UUGCUUCAUCAGCAUAUACACUAAACUUGGAAGGACACCGAGAUUAGCAUGCGCCUGUACAAAGAUGAGAUGCAAAUCUGUGAGGCGUUCUAUAUUUUG
This is a small nuclear RNA of Cricetulus griseus (Chinese hamster), 99 nucleotides long. NCBI's taxonomy places the organism in Eukaryota, Metazoa, Chordata, Mammalia, Rodentia, Cricetidae. The record is from Ensembl.